CCUCACAAGAGCAGAGGAGAGGGGAAGAAUCACCUCCCUGGAGAUAAUCCUUGUAGGAAUCCUACCAGUCCUACAGAUUUUUAAUCCAUUUUAUAAAGCUGUGUCACAAUUGCACUGAAUUCUGUUGAUUUUACAGCUCAUAUACUUAAGGAUUAUUACAGAUUUUUAUUUUUUUUUCCUAGUAUGAAGAAUCAUAAUGAAAAUAAUUCAUGAAACUAUUGAGGGAUCUUCAGAUAAAAGCACCAGCGCCAGAAUUAUUCAACAAGCUCAGCAUCCACAAUCAGAAAUCACAGUGCCAUUUCACUUAGGAUGAUCCCAGGAGGCAGAGCUAGCAGGUAAUUAUUUUUGAUAACUUUUUCUUUCCUGCCUUCAAGCACUUUUGUAUGUACACUGAAUAUAUUUAACACUUCAUUAUUCAGCAAACGUUUACCUCACCUAUAAUUUAGAAAUAAGUGAGAAAUACUGAACAGUUUUUUAUAGGAACUUUUCAAAACACACACGCUGCUGUGUGAUUCUCAACCCCAGCUGGAAAAAAUAAAACUAGAAGAAAACUAGAACA
RNAcentral lists this long non-coding RNA (559 nucleotides) under Cyanistes caeruleus (blue tit). RNAcentral's name for it is "lncRNA (ENSCCEG00000020456.1)". The record is from RNAcentral. Lineage: Eukaryota; Metazoa; Chordata; Aves; Passeriformes; Paridae.